CAAAGAGUGCUUGAAAUUGUC
This 21-nucleotide non-coding RNA is filed under the name Arabidopsis thaliana (thale cress). The record is from RNAcentral. Lineage: Eukaryota; Viridiplantae; Streptophyta; Magnoliopsida; Brassicales; Brassicaceae.